AGAAAAAUUGCCCAAAAUAUGAGUGUGUAGCUGAUGCACCCUGGAGAAGCCCCCUGGAGGAGGAGGGAGGGACGGCGUGCUGGGCACCUUGCGCUCCCCGCCUGGAGAACCCUGGACCCCACCUUCCUGGUCAUUCCGUCCUCAUUUUCCUUCUCUUUGUGGUUCCUUAAUGUUGCCCAUUUAGUAACAAUUUGUUUCCAGAUCCACAGCAGGGGAACCCUAUGAUAAGCAUUUUUAAUUCUGAGGGUGGAACUGGCUUCUCUUACCCCAAUUUUCUUUUAAAGAUUCAUUCCCCUUAUGUGUCUGGGCCAUCCAUCUUCAUUGCUAUGUAUUAUUUCUUUGCAGAAAUAGACAGGUUGGGCAUCCCUAAUCUGAAAAUCUGAAACUCUGAGAGCUGAGAUGAUGCCACAGUAGAAAAUUCCUCAACACUGAACUUUGUUUUGUGUACAAAAUCAAUAGAAAUACUGUAUACAAUCGCUUUUAGACUAUGUAUAUAGGUGUGUAUAAAACAUAAAUGGAUUUUGUAAUUAGGCUUUGGUUCCUAUGCAAAUAUUCCAAAGUCCCCAAAAUACUUGUGAUCUGAAACAUUUCUGUGUCCUAAGCAUUUUGGAUAAGUGAUAUGCAAUAUGUCUCAAAUUAUUUAUCCAUUCUAAUGUUGAUGGACAUUUGCCUGUUUUUCUCUAGGCUUUAGGAAUUAUAAGCAGCUCUUCCAUAAGCGUUUUAGCUUGUGUGCUUCUGUGUUUGCAUCUCUAUCAGCAUACGGUAGAUGGGAAUUGAAGGUCAUGGGGCUAUGUACUUGACACUCAUUGAAUCUUCAAUUUGAAUUUCUCACUGAUUCCUAGAUCUUUUAUAUUUUGGGUAAGAACCAGCCAUUUGGUAUAUAUGCUAUAAAUAUCUUCUCUUGCUCUGAGGAUUACAUUUUCACUAUCAUGGCACCUUUUGAUAAGUAGAAGUUUUAAUUUUCAAAGAGUUGAGUUAUAUAUCAUUACUUUAUGGCUAAUGACUUGUUUUUGUCUUAAGGAAGUGUUCCCUACCCCAAGUCAAUGAGGAGCCAGGCCUGCUUUAACUGUGAAGACUUUAGUGUUGCCUUCACAUGAAGCUCUAUAAAUACGCAGGACUGGGUUUUUGCAUGGUGUGGCUGUUCAAUUCUGCUGCACAUUUGUUGAAACGAUGAUCAUUUCCCCCAUUCGGUGCUGUACAACCUGUGUCUUAAGUCAAGCGUCCACUCAUGCAUGGGUCUGGGAUCUCUCGUCUGUGCCCUGGGUCACUGUCCAAUCUUGACACCAAUGCCCCUCACCUUAGUUACUCUGGCUUUUAUAAUAGGUCUUGAUAGCUGGUGAUGAAAAAAUUUCUUUUCUUUGAGAGUAUCUUAGUUCUUUUAUUAAAAUGUUUUAUUAGUUGUCAAUGGACCUUUAUUUUAUUU
This 1423-nucleotide long non-coding RNA is filed under the name Marmota monax (woodchuck). Lineage: Eukaryota; Metazoa; Chordata; Mammalia; Rodentia; Sciuridae. The record is from RNAcentral.